This 306-nucleotide ribosomal RNA is filed under the name uncultured bacterium. Its description in RNAcentral is "bacterial SSU rRNA". It matches the Rfam family "Bacterial small subunit ribosomal RNA", at positions 774 to 1076 of the family's 1533-position model. The record is from RNAcentral.
AGUAAAUAGAUACCCCGGUAGUCCACGCCGUAAACGAUGAGUACUAGGUGUAGGAGGUAUCGACUCCUUCUGUGCCGCAGUUAAACACAAUAAGUACUCCGCCUGGGAAGUACGGUCGCAAGAUUAAAACUCAAAGGAAUUGACGGGGGCCCGCACAAGCAGCGGAGCAUGUGGUUUAAAUUCGAAGCAACGCGAAGAACCUUACCUAGACUUGACAUCUCCUGAAUAGUGUAGAGAUACAUGAAGCCCUUCGGGGCAGGAAGACAGGUGGUGCAUGGUUGUCGUCAGCUCGUGUCGUGAGAUGUU